Molecule: ribosomal RNA, 257 nt
Filed under: uncultured bacterium
Lineage: Bacteria
Description: partial 16S ribosomal RNA
Rfam family: Bacterial small subunit ribosomal RNA
Source: RNAcentral
UACGGGGGGAGCAAGCGUUGUUCGGAUUUACUGGGCGUAAAGGGCGCGUAGGCGGUCAGCACAAGUCAGUUGUGAAAUCUCCGGGCUUAACCCGGAAAGGUCAACUGAUACUGUGCGACUAGAGUGCGGGAAGGGGCAACUGGAAUUCUCGGUGUAGCUGGUGAAAUGCGUAGAUAUCGAAGAGGAACACCUGCGGCGAAGGCGGGUUGCUGGGCCGACACUGACGCUGAUGCGCGAAAGCCAGGGGAGCGAACGGG